This 253-nucleotide ribosomal RNA is filed under the name uncultured Bacteroidales bacterium. RNAcentral's name for it is "partial 16S ribosomal RNA". It matches the Rfam family "Bacterial small subunit ribosomal RNA", at positions 524 to 776 of the family's 1533-position model. Lineage: Bacteria; Pseudomonadati; Bacteroidota; Bacteroidia; Bacteroidales. The record is from RNAcentral.
UACGGAGGAUCCGAGCGUUAUCCGGAUUUAUUGGGUUUAAAGGGUGCGUAGGCGGCCUUUUAAGUCAGCGGUGAAAGUCUGUGGCUCAACCAUAGAAUUGCCGUUGAAACUGGCGCGCUUGAGUUCAGGCGAGGUAGGCGGAAUUCGUGGUGUAGCGGUGAAAUGCAUAGAUAUCACGAAGAACUCCGAUUGCGAAGGCAGCUUACCAGUCUGCGACUGACGCUCAGGCACGAAAGUGUGGGUAUCGAACAGG